Long non-coding RNA from Cyclopterus lumpus (lumpfish), 1080 nucleotides. RefSeq lists it as uncharacterized. The transcript is spliced from 3 exons. Lineage: Eukaryota; Metazoa; Chordata; Actinopteri; Perciformes; Cyclopteridae. The record is from RefSeq and is a predicted model, not a curated record.
CUUGAGUAACUUUUGGGGAACACAACAGUCAAGGUGACUCAUCCCCUCAUUACGAUCUCUUCCUGCAGGAAUGUCGACACGGCGCCUUUCAGAGGUCGUGUUUCAUUAAGACGGACACUAGCACACGGUGCCAGCCGGAGGAAGAGGACGACUGAGGACUCGUUCCUGAGAGCUUCAAGAAUACAUCAGCAAACGCUCAUCGAUGAACUUCUUCCACUCCGGCUUCUCGUUGCCGAGGUCGCGGUAGUUGUCGUUGGAGACGAUGAUGCCCUCGGACUCGUAGGCCAGUUUGACGAUGAAGCGGUCGUCGUAGCAAACCACGCGGCGUCCCUGCACGCGGCGCGAGGGAGUGAAGACCAGGAUCUUCUCUUUCUCCAGCCGCCGGAGAAUGUCCUGGUCUGAAGACGGAGACGGGAUACAGUUACACAUGCAGCAGAGGAUCAGCGACAUCCUUCCGGUGUCAUUUCAUUGAGACUUUGCAUCAUCAGCUGUUACCUGUGAUGAGUGCAUCAGGGCGGGACUGCUCUUUUCUCCAGGCAGGGACAAAAACAGUGAUGUCACGAUGACCUCGGUCCAAGAACCAAUCGACAGCCAGCUGGAUGCCUUGGCAGGAAAACACUUCCUUAUUUCCAUGACUGCAGGAGCAGAAAGACAUGUUAAACAAUCAGUGUUGUCCUAAUUUAAAACACUGUGACAUUUUUUAUUUUGCUUUCUAGAGCUACACAACAGUUUGUUUUCAUUAUAACAGGAACAUUGGACUGUAUUAGUUAUUAGACUUUUAUGCAAGACGUUUUACUCAUUUAUAUAUCAGUCGAAAUCAGCAAAAAAAUGACCAACACACAACAUCUUUGGUCAAAAGAAAUGUUGCGACAGUUGACAGUUAAUGAUAUAAUUGAAAAUAUGAAUAUAUUGUCAUAAAAAGUGGUAUUGAUAUUGGUAUUUCUAUAUUAUAAUAUCUCACAUAGCCCUUGCAUUACUCCAAAGUACCCUUAGGGGCACUAGUAGUAGAGAAACACUGCUUUGGUCAUACUUGCACGUGGCACUGAAGAGUGCAACCAACAAAAAGCCAUAAACUAAACU